AUGGCAGUUUCGGCGCUGGUGGCACAGACUUGGCUUGGCAUGUGGGGCAUGAGGGCCAGGCAAACCCGAGGCUUCAGCUCAGAUCAGUCCAAAAAUAUCGACAGGAGCUCAGACUCGAUCCAGAACAGGCUGAAGAGGAACGAUAUUUCUAAGUGUAAACUAGAGAACAACUGGCAGCUUUGAAAAAACACCAUGAAGAUGAGAUCGGUCAUCAUAAGAAGGAGAUCGAGCAUCUGCAGAAAGAAAUUGAGCAGCAUAAGCAGAAGAUCAAAACACUAAAACAUGAUGAUUAAGUGCACACAGUUCCUUCUAGAAUGGCACAUAUAAUUGUCCACUUCUAUGUAGACAUAGUUCUGCUUUAAUUAAUAUCUGUCUGUGUGCUACUAACAUUAUAAUAAAUUGUCAACAGUGAAAAAAA
Molecule: RNA transcript, 418 nt
Organism: Carlito syrichta (Philippine tarsier)
Lineage: Eukaryota; Metazoa; Chordata; Mammalia; Primates; Tarsiidae
Gene name: ATPase inhibitor, mitochondrial pseudogene
Exons: 1
Source: RefSeq, a predicted model, not a curated record